AUACUUACCACAGGGGAGAUCUUGUGAUCAGAAAGGUGGUUUUCCUAGGGCAAGGCUUGUCAAUUGCUCUCCAGGAUGUGCCAAACCCUGUGAUUUCCCCAACUGCAGGAAACUCAACUGCAUAAUUUGUGGAAGAGGCAGACUAUAUUUGUGUCCUCCCC
Jaculus jaculus (lesser Egyptian jerboa) is the source of this 161-nucleotide small nuclear RNA. Its record names the gene U1. It matches the Rfam family "U1 spliceosomal RNA". From Rfam's summary of the family: U1 is a small nuclear RNA (snRNA) component of the spliceosome (involved in pre-mRNA splicing). Its 5' end forms complementary base pairs with the 5' splice junction, thus defining the 5' donor site of an intron. NCBI's taxonomy places the organism in Eukaryota, Metazoa, Chordata, Mammalia, Rodentia, Dipodidae. The record is from Ensembl.